This 200-nucleotide ribosomal RNA is filed under the name uncultured bacterium. RNAcentral's name for it is "partial 16S ribosomal RNA". It matches the Rfam family "Bacterial small subunit ribosomal RNA", at positions 8 to 217 of the family's 1533-position model. The record is from RNAcentral.
AGAGUUUGAUCAUGGCUCAGGACUAACGCUGGCGGCGUGCCUAACACAUGCAAGUCGAACGAGGUAGCAAUACCUAGUGGCAGACGGGUGAGUAACACGUAGUCAACCUACCUCUUAGUGGGGGAUAACUAGCCGAAAGGUUAGCUAAUACCGCAUACGCUCGUCGGGCGGCAUCGCCUGACGAUGAAAGCAGUAAUGCG